Molecule: non-coding RNA, 72 nt
Organism: Phrynosoma platyrhinos (Desert horned lizard)
Lineage: Eukaryota; Metazoa; Chordata; Lepidosauria; Squamata; Phrynosomatidae
Source: the annotation of a GenBank genome assembly
GAAAGUGUGGCAUAGUGGUUUGAGCGUUGGACUGUGAAUCCAGAAACCAGGGUUCAAUUCCCAGCUUGGCCA